GUGGCGUUUCCUUCUUCACUAGAUGACGUGGCUUUUCGACGGCGAAGUACUGACUUAGAAUCGAGGCAUACAAUCCCGACGUCCAGGCACUUCCGCAUUGGCAUCUUUGAGUCCUCUUGGUGUAUGACCCACUCCUUGGUUUCAUUCAAUUUUAUAUUAUUUUCUUUUAGUGUUCUAGAUUAGUGGUGUGCUCUGAACACGGUCCUUAUUUGCAUAUUCAUUAUUCUUUUAUAUUUAUAAGCCUUAU
Molecule: long non-coding RNA, 247 nt
Organism: Pyrus x bretschneideri (Chinese white pear)
Lineage: Eukaryota; Viridiplantae; Streptophyta; Magnoliopsida; Rosales; Rosaceae
Exons: 2
Source: RefSeq, a predicted model, not a curated record